This is a small nucleolar RNA of Telopea speciosissima, 107 nucleotides long. The record is from RefSeq and is a predicted model, not a curated record. Lineage: Eukaryota; Viridiplantae; Streptophyta; Magnoliopsida; Proteales; Proteaceae.
ACAGCGUGGUGGGGGCACUUCCUAAGUAAUUCCUUGAGUCUCUCCCACGCUUCACGAAAUUGUUCGCCCUCUAAUUGGGAGAAACUAGUAAUGGCUCUUCUAAGGCU